UACGAAGGGGGCUAGCGUUGCUCGGAAUCACUGGGCGUAAAGGGUGCGUAGGCGGGUCUUUAAGUCAGGGGUGAAAUCCCGGGGCUCAACCUCGGAAUUGCCUUUGAUACUGGGUGUCUUGAGUAUGAGAGAGGUAUGUGGAACUCCGAGUGUAGAGGUGAAAUUCGUAGAUAUUCGGAAGAACACCAGUGGCGAAGGCGACAUACUGGCUCAUUACUGACGCUGAGGCUCGAAAGCGUGGGGAGCAAACAGG
Molecule: ribosomal RNA, 253 nt
Filed under: uncultured bacterium
Lineage: Bacteria
Description: partial 16S ribosomal RNA
Rfam family: Bacterial small subunit ribosomal RNA
Source: RNAcentral